UGUCGGGUCCCGAGCAAGGGAGCGGCGUGAACCUGGUCAGACCCGGAAGGGAGCAGCCAUAAGCGUGCGGCGACUUGUGCUCGGGGUGCCUGAUGAAC
RNAcentral lists this signal recognition particle RNA (98 nucleotides) under Planctomycetota bacterium. RNAcentral's name for it is "signal recognition particle sRNA small type". It matches the Rfam family "Bacterial small signal recognition particle RNA". Rfam says of the family: The signal recognition particle (SRP) is a universally conserved ribonucleoprotein involved in the co-translational targeting of proteins to membranes. Archaeal SRP consists of a 7S RNA and homologues of the eukaryotic SRP19 and SRP54 proteins. In most bacteria, the SRP consists of a 4.5S RNA and the Ffh protein (a homologue of the eukaryotic SRP54 protein). The record is from RNAcentral. Lineage: Bacteria; Pseudomonadati; Planctomycetota.